RNAcentral lists this ribosomal RNA (193 nucleotides) under uncultured Bacteroidota bacterium. RNAcentral's name for it is "uncultured Bacteroidetes bacterium partial 16S ribosomal RNA". It matches the Rfam family "Bacterial small subunit ribosomal RNA", at positions 334 to 524 of the family's 1533-position model. The record is from RNAcentral. Lineage: Bacteria; Pseudomonadati; Bacteroidota.
UACUCCUACGGGAGGCAGCAGUAGGGAAUAUUGGACAAUGGGCGAGAGCCUGACCCAGCCAUGCCGCGUGCAGGAAGAAGGCUUUCUGAGUCGUAAACUGCUUUUGACAGGGAAGAAUAAGCUGGACGUGUCCAGUGAUGACGGUACCUGCAGAAUAAGCACCGGCUAACUCCGUGCCAGCAGCCGCGGUAAU